This 207-nucleotide ribosomal RNA is filed under the name uncultured delta proteobacterium. RNAcentral's name for it is "partial 16S ribosomal RNA". It matches the Rfam family "Bacterial small subunit ribosomal RNA", at positions 568 to 774 of the family's 1533-position model. Lineage: Bacteria; Deltaproteobacteria. The record is from RNAcentral.
CGUGUAGGCGGCUUUGCAAGUCGGGUGUGAAAUCCCUCAGCUCAACUGAGGAAGGGCGCCCGAAACUGCAGAGCUUGAGUACCGGAGAGGAUGGCGGAAUUCCCCAAGUAGAGGUGAAAUUCGUAGAUAUGGGGAGGAACACCGGUGGCGAAGGCGGCCAUCUGGACGGAUACUGACGCUGAGACGCGAAAGCGUGGGUAGCAAACA